ACAAUAUACCCAGGAUACAUACAUGACCUGAUGUCAGGACAUCCUGUGGCCCAGGAAAGUUGACACAUACAAUGAACCAUCACAUUGACCAAGAGCCAGAAAAUAUGGAAAAAGAGCCAUCCAAUGAGCACGACAAAGGAGCAGAAUUCCUAGGCAAAAGGAUACUGGGAGAACAGGAGGAGCAUGCUCAAGGACACAACAUAGAUGGUCACUCCCGCCUUUUGAGCUCUUUGUAAAACUGCCAUAAGAGGCUGCAGUUCAGUGACAAAGUAAUGCAACUUGGCAAGGAAAAGAGUAAAGCCUGGUGAUGAGAAGAAAAAAUGCAAGAAAAUGAAAAUCAGGAGUCAAACAAUGUAGAACAGCUUCUUACCCCCAUCCAUACCCCAUGGCCCAGGCCCUCAGCAUUGAUGGCAUUGUCUCUGCACAGCCAGAAUUUUAGGAAAUGCAUGCCAAUAUUGACAUUACCUCACGUAAUGAAAUCAAGAUUGGAGGCUGGCCCAGUGAUGGCCCAUCUGGAGAAGAGCCUCACGCCAAAGCUGCUAUCUCCCUUUUCCCUUUUUCUUCACACCUCACACUGAGAGACAAGACCACCUUAGAAUGUGGCUUCUUCCAAAAGAGCAUUUGGCAGCUUUUUUCCAAGCCUGAGGGUAGACUGAGAAGUGGUUUCUUCUUUUUCCUAAUACAGGUAUUAAGCUGACUUAAUAUUCACUUACUCUGAAAAAUCCCACUUCACAGAAACAUUUUUUAACAUGAGCCAAAGUGUUUCUCCCUAAUUCAGCACAAUUGCGCCUGGUUUAUAUCCAUUGAUGUUAAAUGAUUUCCCGUUUAAUAUCAAUUGGAAAUGGCUGAUUUCCUACCCCAAACAGUACUUAAUGUCAAUUAUGGCAGGCAGGGCAGAGCUGUUUUUCAAUUAACUACACCACUCCAUUUUGUUUGCUGGUGAAUGGUGCAAAACACACGCACACAGAGCCACCUUGUGAAACAGUGACAGACAGGGAUGUGGUAUCGAUUUUGCUCCCUGCUCCUGACCAUUGGUUUAGGAAAUGGUGGUGUGGGAUGAGGGUUGGCAGGGAGUGGUGGGAGCUUCCCUUUCCCUUUUCUCCAGGGACCAGUUACGGUUUAAUGAGAACCUACCCUUCCAUCAGAGGAACCUCUGGUCUGGUAAUGACCAGAACUCGUUGGGGAAAGUACAACACUUAACCAUAAACAGUUUUGCUAGAACAGAGUUCACAGACAUGUGGAAGGGGGUUUUGGAUUCAAAGGAGGAUGUGACUGUGAGGUGGCUUCUCUAGUAAUUCUCCGAGAGCCUGGGUGUGGUUGUGGUGUGGUUGGCUGAGCAUGCCAGCCAACAUUUAUUGAACGCCUACUGUGGGUCAGCAACAUCAUGUUAUUUAAUCCUCUCAAUAACCUUGCCAGAGUACAUGUCUGUUACGGAGGUGUCCAUGUCUGAGGCCAAUAAGAUUGUCUAAUGCCAUUGAGCUCUUCAGCACUUGAA
This 1495-nucleotide long non-coding RNA is filed under the name Vulpes vulpes (red fox). RNAcentral's name for it is "lncRNA (ENSVVUG00000010287.1)". Lineage: Eukaryota; Metazoa; Chordata; Mammalia; Carnivora; Canidae. The record is from RNAcentral.